AAUUUAAAUAUUUUUUUUUAGUUUUCUAAACUGAAUUUUCCUUUGUAGGUUA
RNAcentral lists this transfer RNA (52 nucleotides) under Heterodera glycines (soybean cyst nematode). RNAcentral describes it as "tRNA-Ser". The record is from RNAcentral. Lineage: Eukaryota; Metazoa; Nematoda; Chromadorea; Rhabditida; Heteroderidae.